GGCUUACACAAUGCAAGUCGAGCGGAACGAGAUAGCUUGCUAUCAAGGCGUCGGAGCGGGCGUGCACUUUUGUGAGUAAACGCGUAGGAACCUACCUAAUAGUUUGCGGGAUAGCCAUUGGAAACGAUGAUUAAUACCGGAUUACGCCCCUACGGGGGGGAAAAGCAAAGGAACCUUUCGGGGCUUUUGCCGCUUAUUUAGAUGGGGCCCUGGCGUGGAGAAUUAGCUUAGUUUGGUGGGGUAAAUGCCCCCACCCAAGGGCGAACGAAUCUUUUAGCUGGGUCUGAAGAGGGAUGAAUCAGCCCACACCUGGGAAACUGGAAACCCGGGUCCAGACUUCCUUACGGGGAGGGCAGCAGUGGGGGGAAUUUUUUGCCACCAAUGGGGGCGAAAAGCCCUGAAUGCAGCCCAUGCC
Molecule: ribosomal RNA, 415 nt
Filed under: uncultured bacterium
Lineage: Bacteria
Description: partial 16S ribosomal RNA
Rfam family: Bacterial small subunit ribosomal RNA
Source: RNAcentral